UUAUGAUUAUGCUGUUAUACUAUUAUACUAUAUUCCUGAAGUUAAUUAUUUAUUUUAGUUUUCCUAUAUCGCCAAGUAUAUCGUUAUCACAAAAAUACCUGAAAUAUUGUGAUAUUAUUUUAGAUCCAUAUCGCCCACCCCUACUCCUCACAUCCUCCACUCACUCCUCACCUCACACUCCUUACUCUUCACACUCCUCACCUCACACUCACCACACUCAUCUCACCUCACACUCUCCACACUCAUCUCACACUCCUUACUCUUCACACUCCUUACCUCACACUCACCACACUCAUCUCACACUCCUUACUCUUCACACGCCUCACCUCACACUCCUCACAUCCUCCACUCACACUCCUGACUUUUCACACCUCUCAGAUCCUCAACUCAUUCCUUACAUCCUUAACUCACACUCCUCACAUUCUCAAUUUACAGUCAUCUCAUUCUCAACUCACUCUUCACACUCCACAUCCUCAACCCACUCCUUACGUCCUCUACUCACACUCCUCACCUCCCCAACUCAGUUCACGUUCCUCCACUCACACUUUUUACAUCUGCACCUCCCUUCUUCAACUCACACUUCACAUCCUCAGUUCACACUCCUCACUCUUUACACUCCUCACCUGAUUCCUCCACUAACACCAGCACGCCCCAUUCUCAGUUCACACUUCUCAACUAAGUCCUAACACAUCCUGACCUCACAUCCACAACUUACAAUCCUCACACUUCACAUCCUCAGUUCACUCCUUUAAUCCUCCACUCACACUCCUUACAUCCUCACCCCACAUCCUGAACUCACACUCCUCACUUCCCAUCCUCAACCCUUCCACUCACUCCUCCACUUAAACUCCUCACCUCUCUUUACACUCCUCAUCUCACACUCCCCACUUACAUUCAUCUCACACUCAGGGUUGCCACCUGUCCUGUAAAAUACAGAACACCCUUUAUUUGGCUAUUAAAUAUUGCGUCCCAUAUUGUACCAAUAUGCAAAGCGAUUUGUUCUUUAUUUCCA
This 1012-nucleotide long non-coding RNA is filed under the name Astyanax mexicanus (Mexican tetra). RNAcentral's name for it is "lncRNA (ENSAMXG00005021388.1)". The record is from RNAcentral. Lineage: Eukaryota; Metazoa; Chordata; Actinopteri; Characiformes; Acestrorhamphidae.